AGCUCCAGUAGCGUAUAUUAAAGUUGUUGCAGUUAAAAAGCUCGUAGUUGGAUUUCUGGCUUGAGAACGCUGGCCCGCCGGGGUUACCCGUGUGAGUGCCGGCCGUUCUCUGCCAUCCUUCUAGAAAACGCGUCUCGACUUCAUUGUUGCGGGCGCGCCAUCUAGAUCAUUUACUUUGAGAAAAUUAGAGUGUUUAAAGCAGGCUUGCGCUAUGAAUACAUUAGCAUGGAAUAAUAAUAUAGGGCUUCGGUUCUAUUUUGUUGGUUUCUAGGACUGAAGUAAUGAUUGAUAGGGAUAGUUGGGGGUGCUAGUAUUCAGCGGCCAGAGGUGAAAUUCUUGGAUUCGCUGAAGACUAACUUAUGCGAAAGCAUUCACCAAGGAUGUCUUCU
RNAcentral lists this ribosomal RNA (389 nucleotides) under uncultured eukaryote. RNAcentral describes it as "SSU rRNA". It matches the Rfam family "Eukaryotic small subunit ribosomal RNA", at positions 587 to 972 of the family's 1831-position model. The record is from RNAcentral.